This 719-nucleotide ribosomal RNA is filed under the name uncultured bacterium. RNAcentral describes it as "bacterial SSU rRNA". It matches the Rfam family "Bacterial small subunit ribosomal RNA", at positions 136 to 851 of the family's 1533-position model. The record is from RNAcentral.
CAGGGGGAUAAGCGGAAGAAAUUCCGUCUAAUACCGCGUAAUAACUCCGAGGGGCAUCUCUUGGGGUUUAAAGGGUAACACCGGCUACGGAUGGCCAUGCGGCGCAUUAGCUAGUUGGCGGGGUAACGGCCCACCAAGGCGACGAUGCGUAGGGGUUCUGAGAGGAAGGUCCCCCACACUGGUACUGAGACACGGACCAGACUCCUACGGGAGGCAGCAGUGAGGAAUAUUGGUCAAUGGGCGCGAGCCUGAACCAGCCAAGUCGCGUGAGGGAAGACGGUCCUAUGGAUUGUAAACCUCUUUUGUCGGGGAGCAAAAGACGCCACGCGUGGCGUUCCGAGAGUACCCGAAGAAAAAGCAUCGGCUAACUCCGUGCCAGCAGCCGCGGUAAUACGGAGGAUGCGAGCGUUAUCCGGAUUUAUUGGGUUUAAAGGGUGCGCAGGCGGAAGAUCAAGUCAGCGGUAAAAUUGAGAGGCUCAACCUCUUCGAGCCGUUGAAACUGGUUUUCUUGAGUGAGCGAGAAGUAUGCGGAAUGCGUGGUGUAGCGGUGAAAUGCAUAGAUAUCACGCAGAACUCCGAUUGCGAAGGCAGCAUACCGGCGCUCAACUGACGCUCAUGCACGAAAGUGUGGGUAUCGAACAGGAUUAGAUACCCUGGUAGUCCACACAGUAAACGAUGAAUACUAAUUGUUCGGGGAGAAUGAUCCCUGAGUGAUACAG